This 253-nucleotide ribosomal RNA is filed under the name uncultured bacterium. RNAcentral's name for it is "partial 16S ribosomal RNA". It matches the Rfam family "Bacterial small subunit ribosomal RNA", at positions 524 to 776 of the family's 1533-position model. The record is from RNAcentral.
UACAGAGGUUCCAAGCGUUGUUCGGAUUCACUGGGCGUAAAGGGUGCGCAGGCGGUCGGGUAAGUCUGAUGUGAAAUCUCCGGGCUCAACCCGGAAAUGGCAUUGGAUACUAUCCGGCUGGAGGGUGGCAGGGGGGACUGGAAUUCUCGGUGUAGCAGUGAAAUGCGUAGAUAUCGAGAGGAACACCCGUGGCGAAGGCAAGUCCCUGGACAACUCCUGACGCUCAUGCACGAAAGCUAGGGGAGCAAACAGG